RNAcentral lists this long non-coding RNA (468 nucleotides) under Zostera marina. RNAcentral's name for it is "long non-coding RNA (ZMAR_LNC001194)". The record is from RNAcentral. Lineage: Eukaryota; Viridiplantae; Streptophyta; Magnoliopsida; Alismatales; Zosteraceae.
GUAGAGACGGCAUGUCGAAGAAGAAAACUCUUACCCGUACCCGCAGACCCAGUAAUAAAAACAGACUUUCCUUCAGAUAUCAACGAGAUAAUUUAUUUCUGCUUUGAACUUACGUUAAUUUUCUCACAUUCAUCGACGUCAAUACUACUUUCUCUGGACCUCUUCUUCCUAGUUUUCAAACCUUGUGAUGCCAUUUCCUAUUGUGAACGCCAGUAUCUCUGGAAUCAAUUAGAGUAACACAAGAAUGAUAUAUUAGACUAAUAAGAGUAAAGCUUCCAAACCUGUUUGCGUGUAAAUAUUCAGUAUGUCUUCCAGAUCUGCGAUGGACGACGAGUGAGCAUAACUUGUAGCCAGGAGUGAUCUUGAGUGUUAGUCGGACGUGAGGAUAAAUCAGUUCAAGAACUCGCUUCCUCUAAAAUAUAUUCGAUCACCUUCCUGUGAAGAACCAGCGAAAAAGGUAAGUCACCA